RNAcentral lists this ribosomal RNA (253 nucleotides) under uncultured bacterium. RNAcentral's name for it is "partial 16S ribosomal RNA". It matches the Rfam family "Bacterial small subunit ribosomal RNA", at positions 524 to 776 of the family's 1533-position model. The record is from RNAcentral.
UACGUAGGGUGCGAGCGUUAAUCGGAAUUACUGGGCGUAAAGAGUGCGUAGGCGGUUCGUUAUGUCUGCUGUGAAAGCCCCGGGCUUAACCCGGGAAUGGCAGUGGAAACUGGCGGGCUUGAGUGUGGCAGAGGGGGGUGGAAUUCCGCGUGUAGCAGUGAAAUGCGUAGAGAUGCGGAGGAACACCGAUGGCGAAGGCAGGUCACUGGGCCGCAACUGACGCUGAGGAGCGAAAGCAUGGGGAGCGAACAGG